RNAcentral lists this unclassified non-coding RNA (358 nucleotides) under soil metagenome. RNAcentral's name for it is "partial contains 5.8S ribosomal RNA, internal transcribed spacer 2, and large subunit ribosomal RNA". The stretch from base 1 to 120 matches the Rfam family "5.8S ribosomal RNA", at positions 35 to 154 of the family's 154-position model. The record is from RNAcentral.
GAUGAAGAACGUAGCGAAAUGCGAUAAGUAAUGUGAAUUGCAGAAUUCAGUGAAUCAUCGAAUCUUUGAACGCACAUUGCGCCCGUCAGUAUUCUGGCGGGCAUGCCUGUUCGAGCGUCAUUACGCCCCUCAAGUCCCCUGUGGACUUGGUGUUGGGGAUCGGCGAGGCUGGUUUUCCAGCACAGCCGUCCCUUAAAUUAAUUGGCGGUCUCGCCGUGGCCCUCCUCUGCGCAGUAGUAAAACACUCGCAACAGGAGCCCGGCGCGGUCCACUGCCGUAAAACCCCCCAACUUUUUAUAGUUCACCUCGAAUCAGGUAGGACUACCCGCUGAACUUAAGCAUAUCAAUAAGCGGAGGA